GACAGAGGUCCCGAGCGUUAGGCGGAAUCACUGGGCUUAAAGCGUGUGUAGGCGGAUUUGUAAGUACCUUGUGAAAUCCCACGGCUUAACCGUGGAACUGCUGGGUAUACUGCGAGUCUUGAGCCACCUAGGGGCAACCGGAACAAACGGUGGAGCGGUGAAAUGCGUAGAUAUCGUUUGGAACGCCAAUGGUGAAAACAGGUUGCUGGGGGUGUGCUGACGCUGAGACACGAAAGCCAGGGGAGCGAACGGG
RNAcentral lists this ribosomal RNA (253 nucleotides) under uncultured bacterium. Its description in RNAcentral is "partial 16S ribosomal RNA". It matches the Rfam family "Bacterial small subunit ribosomal RNA", at positions 524 to 776 of the family's 1533-position model. The record is from RNAcentral.